CACCCCUCAAGCUUGGCUUGGUGUUGGGCGUCGCGGUCCCCGCGUGCCCCAAAGUGCCUCGUGCCCGGCGGGUCGUCCGUCCCCGAGCGUUGUGACAUCUCAGUUCGCUCCGGUGGAUGUGGCGGCUUCGCCGUUAAACCCCCUUUCAGG
This 150-nucleotide unclassified non-coding RNA is filed under the name uncultured Capnobotryella. RNAcentral's name for it is "sequence contains ITS2". Lineage: Eukaryota; Fungi; Ascomycota. The record is from RNAcentral.